UACGAACUGUGCGAACGUUAUUCGGAAUCACUGGGUUUAAAGGGUGCGUAGGCGGCGCUGUAAGUCAGGUGUGAAAAUCCCCCGGCUCACCGGGGAACGUGCGCUUGAAACUAGCAGUGCUUGAGUGAGGUAGGGGUGGCAUGGAACUUCCGGUGGAGCGGUGAAAUGUGUAGAUAUCGGAAGGAACGCCGGCGGCGAAAGCGGUGCACUGGGCCGUUGUCUGACGCUGAGGCACGAAAGCUA
Molecule: ribosomal RNA, 243 nt
Filed under: uncultured bacterium
Lineage: Bacteria
Description: partial 16S ribosomal RNA
Rfam family: Bacterial small subunit ribosomal RNA
Source: RNAcentral